RNAcentral lists this ribosomal RNA (502 nucleotides) under uncultured bacterium. Its description in RNAcentral is "bacterial SSU rRNA". It matches the Rfam family "Bacterial small subunit ribosomal RNA", at positions 355 to 874 of the family's 1533-position model. The record is from RNAcentral.
UGGGGAAUCUUGGACAAUGGGGGCAACCCUGAUCCAGCCAUGCCGCGUGAGUGAUGAAGGCCUUAGGGUCGUAAAGCUCUUUCGCCUGUGAAGAUAAUGACGGUAGCAGGUAAAGAAACCCCGGCUAACUCCGUGCCAGCAGCCGCGGUAAUACGGAGGGGGUUAGCGUUGUUCGGAAUUACUGGGCGUAAAGCGCACGUAGGCGGACCAGAAAGUUGGGGGUGAAAUCCCGGGGGCUCAACCCCGGAACUGCCUCCAAAACUAUUGGUCUAGAGUUCGAGAGAGGUGAGUGGAAUUCCAAGUGUAGAGGUGAAAUUCGUAGAUAUUAGGUGGAACACCAGUGGCGAAGGCGCCUAACUGGUCCGGUACUGACGCUGAGGAACGAAAGCGUGGGGAGCAAACAGGAUUAGAUACCCUGGUAGUCCACACCGUAAACGAUGAAUGCCAGUCGUCGGGUAGCAUGCUAUUCGGUGACACACCUAACGGAUUAAGCAUUCCGCCU